RNAcentral lists this long non-coding RNA (904 nucleotides) under Homo sapiens (human). RNAcentral describes it as "HSALNT0290287". Lineage: Eukaryota; Metazoa; Chordata; Mammalia; Primates; Hominidae. The record is from RNAcentral.
UCCUCCUGCCUCAGCCUCCCAAAGUGCUGGGAUUACAGGCGUGAGCCACUGUGCCCAGCCCCCCCCCCUUUUUUUUUUAAGCAUUUUCUCAGCAGACUAGCUAAGGACAAUAGAUGGCAUGUCCUGACACCCAUGGGGCACUCUGGGUGUUGGGGCAGAAACUUGAGAGGGAAUGAGCUUCUGCAUUGGUCCCUUUCCUGCUGAAGGUGUCUCCCAGUAGUGUCCAUCCCAUCCCAUUUCCAUCCCCAGUUCCUCUUACCCGGAAGCUGUUACAGCCCAGUCCGCUCUGGGCUCCAAUCCUGUCCAUCCUGCCCCCGAAGCAGCUGGAUCUCCGCAGGCUCCGAGGGGCAGUGAGCAGCGCCCUCAGCUUGCUUUUUAGGAGGGCAGCUCCAUCUCUCUGGGCUGGGCUGACUUCCCCGGUCCAGGGAGGCACCUCAGGGAGGGGGCUGAGAGCAGCCCCCGCUUCUUCAUUCGGCUCACUGAGCACUUGUGGGGGCACGACCUCAUCUUCUAAAGGCAUCUUUUCUUCCAAAUGGUCCAGCAACUUGAAAUCCAUCAGGUCUGCGUUGGACACGGCAUUGUACAUGGGAUUAGCUCUGGUCUGACCUAGGAGCUGGAAUGCCAGUAAAAGGAGGAAGCUCACGGUGGUGGUGGAGAAGGAGCUCAUGCUGGCGUCGUCAAGGAGCAAUCCACUGCUUGCUGCUCUGUCUCUCCCCUCUGGUUCCUCUCUGGUUCCCCUCUCUUGGCCUACGUCUGUCCCUGUCUCCCAGCUGCCCAGUGCCGCCUCUUUUUAUAGCCCCCCAGCUCUCCAAGCACGCAGGAGAGACAGAACCCUCCCCAUUCUGUCACUUGCAGUGAUAAAGCUGCCAAGUGAGAAGCCAGCAGGAGAUGCCCUUUUAAAGUU